RNAcentral lists this ribosomal RNA (67 nucleotides) under Fusarium sp. RNAcentral describes it as "partial 18S ribosomal RNA". Lineage: Eukaryota; Fungi; Ascomycota; Sordariomycetes; Hypocreales; Nectriaceae. The record is from RNAcentral.
GGAACUAAGUUUUUCCCGUAUAGUGUUACUCGUAUUCUCGUAGGGGUAACCUGCGGAGGGAUCAUUA